UGUGGCAGGCAGAGAAUGGACCGAACGUCCUUCUUGGUGACCAUAUUUAAAGUGAGAUUUUAAAUUUGGCACCACUUUCUACAUUGCAACCUUUCCUCUCCCUCAAACUCAACUUUUAGAAACUCCAUUUUUCUCCUCCUUCUCUCUACACCCUUCCAACUUCUCUCUAGAUUUCUGACUACCAUUUCUCCUCCGGUCAUAUACUUCCUUUCAGAUUAAUUACUCCCAGUGUCAAGAGCUUCAAUUUGCACCGAUCAGAUUUCUGUUUUGGACUGGUAAGUGAUUCUGACUUUUGAAACUUCUUUGUAUUCUUGCAUGCACGCACACUUUCAGCUUGCAUGUGUUAGCUAAACCAUUUCUCU
Molecule: long non-coding RNA, 362 nt
Filed under: Vigna radiata
Lineage: Eukaryota; Viridiplantae; Streptophyta; Magnoliopsida; Fabales; Fabaceae
Description: long non-coding RNA (VRAD_LNC001721)
Source: RNAcentral